GAUGAAGAACGCAGCGAAAUGCGAUACUUGGUGUGAAUUGCAGAAUCCCGUGAACCAUCGAGUCUUUGAACGCAAGUUGCGCCCGAAGCCAUUAGGCCGAGGGCACGCCUGCCUGGGCGUCACACGUCGUUGCCCCCCCCAUCUACUCCUUCGGGAUUGCGGGGGGCGGAUGAUGGCCUCCCGUGCGCCUCGCCGCGCGGUUGGCAUAAAUGCCAAGUCCUCGGCGACGCACGCCACGACAAUCGGUGGUUGCGAAACCUCGGUUGCACGUCGUGUGCGGUCGUCGCGCAUCGAGGGCUCGAAAAAAUUGCCGAGUUCCGGCUCGGCUUUCAACGCGACCCCAGGUCAGGCGGGGUUACCCGCUGAAUUUAAGCAUAUCAAUAAGCGGAGGA
RNAcentral lists this unclassified non-coding RNA (392 nucleotides) under soil metagenome. Its description in RNAcentral is "partial contains 5.8S ribosomal RNA, internal transcribed spacer 2, and large subunit ribosomal RNA". The stretch from base 1 to 122 matches the Rfam family "5.8S ribosomal RNA", at positions 35 to 154 of the family's 154-position model. The record is from RNAcentral.